Pomacea canaliculata is the source of this 1285-nucleotide long non-coding RNA. RefSeq lists it as uncharacterized. Lineage: Eukaryota; Metazoa; Mollusca; Gastropoda; Architaenioglossa; Ampullariidae. The record is from RefSeq and is a predicted model, not a curated record. The transcript has 2 exons.
GGUAUUCUGCCCCCUGUGUCGCAAUGAUGUUUUGGAUAUUCCGAUCAUCAACAAAACAGAGGAUUUCAUCUCGUUUGAAGUCGACUGUCUACCCACGGACCACGUGAUCAUGGCGACCGCACGCGGCAAACAUGACGUCACGCCAGACACGUGCUCGGGGUGCGAAGGUCUGCUGUGCAGGUGGCGCACCGCUCCUCACCCGCAAUGUCCGGGACAAGAUGUGCAGAACACUGAGGCAGACGCUCGAGCGGCCGUGAAUGAUCUGUCAGAUAAAGUGGAGAUGAUGAUAGAAGUGAGUAACAAGUUGCAGAAGCAAGUCAGGGGCAGGAGGCCGAGGCUGAGUUUCUGGUGGACAUGAGCAAGAUUGAGGGCGAGGUGCAGGACCGAACCCGGGAUUCUGUCAGUUGGUUAAAGACUGAGACAGGAAAGCUCUGCUCUGUCCUCUUCUCGCACCAGCAUCUCUUACAGCGGAUGUGAAGCAGCCAUCAGGUAGUGGCUACCAUGCUGAUGAGGAAGCCCAUGGAGGACAGGUGUUGGAUAUUGUCAGAUGAGCGAGAACGAGAUACAGAAACAUUCAACCGAAUGGCAGUCGCCCACUCUACACGACAUUUGUGGAUUAGGAAAAUAUUUUUGACUCCAUAGACAGGGAAACCGUCGGGGAAUUGAUGCAGCUCUACGGAUUUCCACCGAAGUUCAUUGCCAUCAUCCAGCUGCUGUAUGUGGAAAGAGUACAAACGUGGAUUGUGAUUUUGACUGCUUUCAAUAUAUUGUGAUUUUUUAGUGUCUUUAAUAUACUGACGAGUAUAAUAUAUUGGGAAAAAAGAGAUUAAGAGAGGAAGAAAGAGAAAGAAAGGAAGGUAGGGAAUAUAUCCAGACUGUAAAUAGUCCAGCUGUAAGAAAGUUUCUUGUGAGGUAUUAUACCUGUUAUGUCAGUAACUAUAAUGUCAGUAACUAUACAUUUGUGACAUAAACGUGUUUGUCUUAUGUGCAGCACUUUUUCUGCUUUAUUUUGUGUUUAUAAGAAAAACAUGCAUGACCAGUUUGUGUAAAAUGCUUUUCAGAAGUAUCUCGGUGCAAACAACAAAAAAUGUUAGAACGGCAUAAUAAAUCCCUUUGACUCUGUAAAUGAUAUUUAUCGACACAAACACUUUUGAUCAAGCUAUAAAAAGCUGUUUCGUCUUUAUUUUUUUGCAUGAAGAAUAUUUGAGCCUUUUGUAGACAAUAGAGUAAAACAGAUUACAAAAAGUCACCUGAUUGAUCAAAUUUCACAUAAAAAAGAAUAAAA